UAAAAGGCAUACCCAUAGUGACCUCACUCC
Molecule: non-coding RNA, 30 nt
Filed under: Mus musculus (house mouse)
Lineage: Eukaryota; Metazoa; Chordata; Mammalia; Rodentia; Muridae
Also listed under: 1 other name
Source: RNAcentral